GUAGCCAUUCGACUCUCUUAAUCCAAUAAGACUGGCGCCCCGAGAGCAAUGCUCGACCAGGGACCUUACCUCCAGUCUGGUCACUUAAAUAUCCAAAUAAGAAAUCUAGUAGCCAUUCGGCUCUCUUAAUCCAAUAAGACUGGCGCCCCGAGAGCAUUGCUCGACCAGGAACCUUACCUCCAGUCUGGUCACUUAAAUAUCCAAAUAAGAAAUCUAGUAGCCAUUCGGCUCUCUUAAUCCAAUAAGACUGGCGCCCCGAGAGCAAUGCUCGACCAGGGACCUUACCUCCAGUCUGG
Molecule: long non-coding RNA, 296 nt
Filed under: Ricinus communis (castor bean)
Lineage: Eukaryota; Viridiplantae; Streptophyta; Magnoliopsida; Malpighiales; Euphorbiaceae
Description: long non-coding RNA (RCOM_LNC001927)
Source: RNAcentral